GACGAACGCUGGCGGCGUGCUUAACACAUGCAAGUCGAACGGAAAGGCCCUGCUUUUGUUGGUUGCUCGAGUGGCGAACGGGUGAGUAACACGUGAGUAACCUGCCCUUGACUUUGUGAUAACUUCAGGAAACUGGGGCUAAUACCGGAUAUGAGCUCCUGCUGCAUGUUGGGGGUUGGAAAGUUUCGGCGGUUGGGGAUGGACUCGCGGCUUAUCAGCUUGUUGGUGGGGUAGUGGCUUACCAAGGCUUUGACGGGUAGCCGGCCUGAGAGGGUGACCGGCCACAUUGGGACUGAGAUACGGCCCAGACUCCUACGGGAGGCAGCAGUGGGGAAUAUUGCACAAUGGGCGGAAGCCUGAUGCAGCAACGCCGCGUGCGGGAUGACGGCCUUCGGGUUGUAAACCGCUUUCGCCUGUGACGAAGCGUGAGUGACGGUAAUGGGUAAAGAAGCACCGGCUAACUACGUG
This 468-nucleotide ribosomal RNA is filed under the name uncultured bacterium. RNAcentral describes it as "partial 16S ribosomal RNA". It matches the Rfam family "Bacterial small subunit ribosomal RNA", at positions 28 to 507 of the family's 1533-position model. The record is from RNAcentral.